GAUGAACGCUGGCGGCGUGCCUAAUACAUGCAAGUCGCGCGAACAGACGAGGAGCUUGCUCCUCUGACGUUAGCGGCGGACGGGUGAGUAACACGUGGAUAACCUACCUAUAAUACUGGGAUAACUUCGGGAAACCGGAGCUAAUACCGGAUAAUAUAUUGAACCGCAUGGUUCCAUAGUGAAAGACGGUUUUUCUGUCACUUAUAGAUGGAUUCGCGCCGCAUUAGCUAGUUGGUAAGGUAACGGCUUACCAAGGCAACGAUGCGUAGCCGACCUGAGAGGGGGAUAAGGCACCCCAGAACGGAGCUGCGGCACGGACCACUACGCGAGGGAGCAGAGGAGAAUCUUACGCUAGGCGAGGGAGGCUGACGUAGCACAGCCGCGUGGCGGACGAGAGGACUCGGAUCGGAAAUGUAUGCUAUUUGGGUGGAAGGAAUAAGUGACUAACGAGUCGCGUUUUGACGGUACCUAAUGAAUAAGGACCGGCUAACUCCGUG
Molecule: ribosomal RNA, 497 nt
Filed under: uncultured bacterium
Lineage: Bacteria
Description: partial 16S ribosomal RNA
Rfam family: Bacterial small subunit ribosomal RNA
Source: RNAcentral